GAAUCCCGUAUAUGGCAUGGACUCCCGUUGCUCUGUGAUACACUCUCGACGAGUCGAGUUGUUUGGGAAUGCAGCUCUAAAUGGGUGGUAAAUGCCAUCUAAAGCUAAAUAUUGGCGAGAGACCGAUAGCGAACAAGUACCGUGAGGGAAAGAUGAAAAGCACUUUGGAAAGAGAGUGAAACAGUACGUGAAAUUGUUGAAAGGGAAACGCUUGAAGUCAGUCGCGCCGUUCGGGAUUCAGCCUUGCUUCUGCUCGGUUUACUUCCCGUUGGGUGGGUCAACAUCAGUUUCGGUCGGAGGAGAAAGACUUGGGGAAGGUAGCAGCAUUCGUGCUGUGUUAUAGCCCCUUGUUGUAUACUUCGAUUGGGACUGAGGACCGCAGCACGCCUUUGGCCGGGGUUCGCCCACGUACGUGCUUAGGAUGUUGGCAUAAUGGCUUUAAGCGACCCGUCUUGAAACACGGACCAAGGAGUCUAACAUGUGCGCGAGUGUUUGGGUGUUAAACUCGGACGCGAAAUGAAAGUGAAAGGUUGGGAACACUUAUGUGUGCACCAACGCCCGGAGCUGACCUUCUGUGACGCAUCUGCGGUAGAGCGUAUAUGUUGGGACCCGAAAGAUGGUGAACUAUGCCUGAAUAGGGUGAAGCCAGAGGAAACUCUGGUGGAGGCUCGUAGCGAUUCUGACGUGCAAAUCGAUCGUCAAAUUUGGGUAUAGGGGCGAAAGACUAAUCGAACCAUCUAGUAGCUGGUUCCUGCC
Molecule: ribosomal RNA, 756 nt
Filed under: uncultured Sebacina
Lineage: Eukaryota; Fungi; Basidiomycota; Agaricomycetes; Sebacinales; Sebacinaceae
Description: partial 28S ribosomal RNA
Rfam family: Eukaryotic large subunit ribosomal RNA
Source: RNAcentral